CUUAUCUUAAAUGUUAUUAUGUCCAACAAUAUUUGUUUCCAAGGGAACCAGGAUCUUUGAUUUCGAGGAAAACUUUUUAUGACGUAAUACUGUGUGGAAUAAAAGGCCGCCGCAGAAAGGCGUUUUAACUGUUCGAAAUAUACUUUGCUCCUCCCCUGUGUGGGAGACUUUCCUGUCAUGUCUCUUUUUUAAUUCGUCCCGUUUUCUCGCGCUCCUAACAAGUUGUGUCUCGGUUCCAACAUUUGUUCACAUCCAGCGUAGAUGGGGAAUAAAUACACGUACUCCACUAGCUCUUAAUAAGUGAUAUUCUGAUAUAUUUUUCCUAAAACUUUAUAACGUACACUCGUAUUUCAAAGACAUGAUGGGUAAACUGACGUUGUGCAUGAGUUUUUUCUCGUGCUCCAACUUUUUACUUCUGAUGCUGUUCACUAUGGUCAACUGCAAGAAGUUCCGGAUGUGAGUACGUCUGGUGAGCUAGCUUACUUGGAAGGCCUCUCUGGGAAUAACAUCGCUAACUUCUUCGAGUCUGUUCCACCAGGAAUGAAAGAAAAGAGAAAUUCCUCACUGCAGAAAAUUCUCAGCCUUUUGAGAAAAAUAGCCUACCAUCGUCAACAGCCUGUCCACAUCAUUGGAAAACACAUGAGAUUUGGGAUAAGUAAGAAGUAGAAGUCUUACAGAAAGCGGGGAACAGGAACAGAUUGGUUUAAACUUUAAGAAUAUUCCGGAGACACUUUCUUGAGCUUUGCUUUAGUUGUAGUUUUUAAUGUAUUGUUAGUUAAUUGAAAAUGUAAUUGUAAAUUAGAUUUAGGAGUAAUAAGUAUAGCUAUAAUAAAAAUGGAUGUUUCUGUGAACCUAUACUUACUUUUAACAGCAUCAACUAAUUAGAUUUGAAGAAUAAAUAAGACACAUGGUCACUUGUGGGGAAAAAAUCAAACUGAAAGUUUCUUAGAAAAAAUUACAAUUUAAUUUUUAAAACCUUAUGAGGACAAUUUGUGUUAUCAUUUGAAAUAACGGAUUGUCGUACAUCGCCGAAGUGAAUCUAUGAUGAGACAGAAAAACAAUUGAUUAAAAUAUAUAAGAACAUGUAACGAGCCUAAUAAAACAUAAGAUACUUUGUAUAUAUUAGCUCAGUUAGUGUCUAUAUAUGUUAUGUCAAAUUGCAAACUUAAGUUGACUUUUGGUUUUAGUU
Long non-coding RNA from Limulus polyphemus (Atlantic horseshoe crab), 1189 nucleotides. RefSeq lists it as uncharacterized. NCBI's taxonomy places the organism in Eukaryota, Metazoa, Arthropoda, Merostomata, Xiphosura, Limulidae. The transcript has 3 exons. The record is from RefSeq and is a predicted model, not a curated record.